AGUGAACGCUGGCGGUAGGCCUAACACAUGCAAGUCGAACGGCAGCACAGUAAGAGCUUGCUCUUACGGGUGGCGAGUGGCGGACGGGUGAGGAAUACAUCGGAAUCUACUUUUUCGUGGGGGAUAACGUAGGGAAACUUACGCUAAUACCGAAUACGACCUACGGGUGAAAGCAGGGGAUCUUCGGACCUUGCGCGAUUGAAUGAGCCGAUGUCGGUUUAGCUAGUUGGCGGGGUAAAGGCCCACCAAGGCGACGGUCCGUAGCUGGUCUGAGAGGAUGAUCAGCCACACUGGACCUGAGACCCGGUCCAGACUCCUACGGGAGGCAGCAGUGGGGAAUAUUGGACAAUGGGCGCAAGCCUGAUCCAGCCAUACCGCGUGGGUGAAGAAGGCCUUCGGGUUGUAAAGCCCUUUUGUUGGGAAAGAAAAGCAGCAGGUUAAUACCCCGCUGUUCUGACGGUACCCAAAGAAUAAGCACCGGCUAACUUCGU
RNAcentral lists this ribosomal RNA (491 nucleotides) under uncultured bacterium. Its description in RNAcentral is "partial 16S ribosomal RNA". It matches the Rfam family "Bacterial small subunit ribosomal RNA", at positions 29 to 506 of the family's 1533-position model. The record is from RNAcentral.